RNAcentral lists this ribosomal RNA (259 nucleotides) under uncultured bacterium. RNAcentral's name for it is "partial 16S ribosomal RNA". It matches the Rfam family "Bacterial small subunit ribosomal RNA", at positions 1242 to 1500 of the family's 1533-position model. The record is from RNAcentral.
AAGAGAAGCAAAGCCGCGAGGUAGAGCAAAUCUCAAAAAAACAAUCUCAGUUCAGACUGCAGGCUGCAACUCGCCUGCACGAAGUCGGAAUUGCUAGUAAUCGUAGGUCAGCAUACUACGGUGAAUACGUUCCCGGGCCUUGUACACACCGCCCGUCAAACCAUGAGAGUUGGCAACACCCGAAGUCGGUAGUCUAACCGCAAGGAGGACGCCGCCGAAGGUGGGGUUGAUGAUUAGGGUUAAGUCGUAACAAGGUAAC